This 464-nucleotide ribosomal RNA is filed under the name uncultured bacterium. RNAcentral describes it as "bacterial SSU rRNA". It matches the Rfam family "Bacterial small subunit ribosomal RNA", at positions 337 to 794 of the family's 1533-position model. The record is from RNAcentral.
UCCUACGGGACGCAGCAGUCGAGAAUUUUUCACAAUGGGCGCAAGCCUGAUGGAGCGACGCCGCGUGGGGGAUGAAUGGCUUCGGCCCGUAAACCCCUGUCAUUUGCGAUCAACCCUCAUUAUUUAAAAGAUGAUGAGCUGAUGGUAGCGAAAGAGGAAGGGACGGCUAACUCUGUGCCAGCAGCCGCGGUAAUACAGAGGUCCCGAGCGUUGUUCGGAUUCACUGGGCGUAAAGGGUGCGUAGGUGGUGGGGUAAGUCGGAUGUGAAAUCUCGGAGCUCAACUCCGAAAUGGCAUUGGAAACUGCCCUGCUGGAGGGUCGGAGGGGGGACUGGAAUUCUCGGUGUAGCAGUGAAAUGCGUAGAUAUCGAGAGGAACACCAGUGGCGAAGGCGAGUCCCUGGACGACACCUGACACUGAGGCACGAAAGCUAGGGGAGCAAACAGGAUUAGAUACCCCGGUAGC